This 522-nucleotide ribosomal RNA is filed under the name uncultured Geobacillus sp. RNAcentral's name for it is "partial 16S ribosomal RNA". Lineage: Bacteria; Bacillati; Bacillota; Bacilli; Caryophanales; Anoxybacillaceae. The record is from RNAcentral.
CACGUAGUUAGCCGGGGCUUUCUCGUGAGGUACCGUCACCGCGCCGCCCUCGUCGAACGGCGCUCCUUCGUCCCUCACAACAGAGCUUUGCGACCCGAAGGCCUUCUUCGCUCACGCGGCGUCGCUCCGUCAGGCUUUCGCCCAUUGCGGAAGAUUCCCUACUGCUGCCUCCCGUAGGAGUCUGGGCCGUGUCUCAGUCCCAGUGUGGCCGGUCACCCUCUCAGGCCGGCUACGCAUCGUCGCCUUGGUGAGCCGUUACCUCACCAACUAGCUAAUGCGCCGCGGGCCCAUCCGCAAGUGACAGCCCAAAGGCCGCCUUUCAACCGAAGACCAUGCGGUCUUCGGUGUUAUCCGGUAUUAGCUCCGGUUUCCCGGAGUUAUCCCGGUCUUGCGGGCAGGUUGCCCACGUGUUACUCACCGUCCGCCGCUGACCGAAUCAAGGCAAGCCCCAAUCCGGUCCGCUCGACUUGCAUGUAUUAGGCACGCCGCCAGCGUUCGUCCUGAGCCACGGAGUCAAACUCU